UGAGGCUGCUCAUCAUGGGGCUGCUCAUCCUGUUCUGCAUCAAACAUAAGAUUUUGCUGUGCCUGCUCAUCCUGGGGCUGCUCGUCCUGAGGCGCCUGCCUUUCCUCAUUUCUCUUUCUCCUUUUUUCAACAGCAGCUCUCCUAUUUGAUUGUGUAGGAGGCCGAACUCGCGAAUAAUCACCACCGUCAGAUUUUCCUCCUCUAGUCCUCACUAACAAAAUUCAAUAAACAAAAAUAAAAAAAA
Molecule: long non-coding RNA, 244 nt
Filed under: Cicer arietinum (chickpea)
Lineage: Eukaryota; Viridiplantae; Streptophyta; Magnoliopsida; Fabales; Fabaceae
Description: long non-coding RNA (CARI_LNC001596)
Source: RNAcentral